RNAcentral lists this ribosomal RNA (485 nucleotides) under uncultured bacterium. Its description in RNAcentral is "partial 16S ribosomal RNA". It matches the Rfam family "Bacterial small subunit ribosomal RNA", at positions 28 to 507 of the family's 1533-position model. The record is from RNAcentral.
GAUGAACGCUGGCGGCGUGCUUAACACAUGCCAGUCGAACGGGAUCCAAGGGGUGCUUGCACUUUUUGGUGAGAGUGGCGAACGGGUGAGUAACACGUGAGUAACCUGCCCUUUUCUUUGGGAUAAGCAUUCGAAAGGGUGUUUAAUACCUUAUGUUCUGUCUGCCUCGCAUGGGGUGGGUGGGAAAGGCUUUGGCCGGAUUUGGGUGGGCUCGCGGUCUAUCAGCUUGUUGGUGGGGUGAUGGCUUACCAAGGCUUUGACGGGUAGCCGGCCUGAGAGGGUGGUCGGUCACAUUGGGACUGAGAUACGGCCCAGACUCCUGCGGGAGGCAGCAGUGGGGGAUAUUGCACAAUGGGCGAAAGCCUGAUGCAGCGACGCCGCGUGGGGGAUGAAGGCCUGCGGGUUGUAAACUUCUUUUGCUCUGAACAAGGCAUGCCAGUGGGUGUGUUGAGUGUAGGGGUGGAUUAGCGCCGGCUAACUACGUG